Molecule: long non-coding RNA, 355 nt
Filed under: Pollicipes pollicipes
Lineage: Eukaryota; Metazoa; Arthropoda; Thecostraca; Pollicipedomorpha; Pollicipedidae
Description: uncharacterized LOC119104638
Source: RNAcentral
GUCGGGGAGAAAGUAGCGCGGACCUGCGUGGGGCGAUGCCGAGCGUUUUGGCUGUGAUCCAGAACGCCUGAUGCGUCAGAAGGCAGACGCGACAUUCAGCUUGGGAAUUAGCAGUUGGCGAGAAAGUAGCGUGGACCUGCGUGGGGCGAUGCCAAGCGUUUUGGCCGGGAUCCAGAACGCCUGAUGCGUGAGAAGGCAGGCGCGGCAUUCAGCUUGGGAAAGGACUGCUCGCGCUGCUCCUGCGCUCGCCGUCCCCUGUUGGCGUGGAGCGAACUAGCUGUGGAAUGCUGACGUCACCGACCGCUCAACGGCUGGUUACGUCAUCCGAUAGCAAGCGCAGCAAUCAAUAACGGAG